CCUACGGGAGGCAGCAGUAAGGAAUGUUGGUCAAUGGAGGCAACUCUGAACCAGCCAUGCCGCGUGCAGGAUGACGGCCCUAUGGGUUGUAAACUGCUUUUAUACAAGAGAAAACCCUGGUACGUGUACCAGGUUGAUAGUAUUGUAAGAAUAAGCAUCGGCUAACUUCGUGCCAGCAGCCGCGGUAAGACGAAGGAUGCAAGCGUUAUCCGGAUUCAUUGGGUUUAAAGGGUGCGUAGGCGGACUGAUAAGUCAGUGGUGAAAUCUCUUUGCUUAACAAGAAACUGCCAUUGAUACUGUCGGUCUAGAGUAUAGAUGACGUUGGCGGAAUAUGACAUGUAGUGGUGAAAUACUUAGAUAUGUCAUAGAACACCGAUUGCGAAGGCAGCUAACGAAACUAUAACUGACGCUGAGGCACGAAAGUGCGGGGAUCAAACAGGAUUAGAUACCCUGGUAGUCCGCACCGUAAACGAUGAUUACUCGUUGUUGGCGAUAUGACAGUCAGCGACCAAGCGAAAGCGAUAAGUAAUCCACCUGGGGAGUACGCCGGCAACGGUGAAACUCAAAGGAAUUGACGGCGNGAGAGNGCGAGGACGACGACGAGGGAGGAGG
RNAcentral lists this ribosomal RNA (612 nucleotides) under uncultured bacterium. RNAcentral's name for it is "bacterial SSU rRNA". It matches the Rfam family "Bacterial small subunit ribosomal RNA", at positions 338 to 951 of the family's 1533-position model. The record is from RNAcentral.